This is a long non-coding RNA of Numida meleagris (helmeted guineafowl), 3699 nucleotides long. RefSeq lists it as uncharacterized. The record is from RefSeq and is a predicted model, not a curated record. The transcript is spliced from 4 exons. Lineage: Eukaryota; Metazoa; Chordata; Aves; Galliformes; Numididae.
UACGUUGCCUGCGCUCUGGAGUGCAUCAAUGACACUGACAACCUGGGUUUCCAUGGCGGCUGCCCGGUAACCCGGGCCCAUGGCUCAGGAUGUGCCUGAGGCUGCCAGAGAGUGGGGCUUCUGAUCAGCCUCAGUGAGCGCAUCUGGGAACAAGUUAAUGUCUUAGACUAAAUUCUGCUUCUGACCAGAUCUCCUGUAUGCCAGCUCAGCUACCCAGGAGGUUUGUGGAUCUACACUCCUGCGUACCUUCGAGUAUAUCUCUGGGAGCACCUGGAACUGAAGGGGCACACCUCGGAGGCAGACGGCCACGUGCUGCCCAGAAAUUAGCCCAGAAGCUGCGUUUUCCUUCAGCACACCGCACCUCACCGGUUGCCGUGGCAACCCCUACAGACCACCAGAUGCCGAUUCCAAUGCAACUCGGCUACCUGGCGAUGGCUGAAUCGUGCACGUGGAGGAGGCCCCUCGUGGCCUUUGGGCUCACAGCUCUCCUCUGUGAGGGUCUGUCACAGCCGAAUUGAGAGCCUGCAGGCAGCAAUCAAACCCAUCCAACACAGCAAUAUGAAAUUCUCGUGAUGUGAAUGAAGAAGCCGGGCUUUGGAGCAAGCGGAUGGAUUUUCAGCGUGGUGUGGGCAAGGGCACAGCAGUCGCUGCUGGUGACAGCCAUGCAGCAGCAGCCGCAGGCACGGGGCCCCUGCCAGUCGAUGGAGGCCCCACUGCGGCUCCGGGUGCUCCCUGCACUGGGAUAAAGCAGCAGGUCUUGCAACCAGGGGCCCGUGCUGUCCAGUGCACUCCUUGCUUGACCCUUACAUGCAGCGACAGCAAGUGCACAACACGGUUCAUUUUUUAAUAGCAGGAGAACUUACUGGAGAAUGAUUGGAGAGAAUUUUGGAGCGUGUUGUAUUUUGAGCCCUGGAGCCUGUAAAGCUGCUGCCGUGCAACCUCCAUUCAAGCCAAAUGGGGCUUCAAUGCCAAAGCGAGGAAGGGAUGUGCAAGAAGCAUUUAUAUAGGAGAGAUGUGGAGAACAGACUCUCAGUACUGGUGAAUCUUCCUCAGAGAUGCAUGCAUCUCCAUAAAUGGAUGAGAACUGGAGAACAAAAAGGGCCAUUAAAAUUUAAUGUGCUAAUUGUAGGAGACGAAGCAGCUCUAUUCAAUUAGAUGCAAACAGACAGGUACUUACUAGAAUACACGGAUUUACGAUGGCUGGUUGUGACAGUGUAGUGGGGCUGGAGCUCACACUGUGGUACCGGCCGGCUGCCCCAGCUCAGUGAGAUAUCGAGGCACAGAGAUAAUGGUGCGCUCACACUGAGCUCAGAGGGGACGUUGGGAAUUGCAUGAAAGAGGAGAGCGAUGGAGCAGGGAGAUAAGUGCACCUGAAAUGUACACGGGAGGCUCGCUUUAUUUGUCUGCACAGCAGCGGUGCCCUGGAAAGGAUUGGAGCACAGCGCUGCGCAGUGCUGCUGAAAACGUUCAGCUGCGGCUCUUACAGCGCUCCCACAGCCUGCUCCUGCCUCCCUCCCUGCUCUCCCUCUUUCACCACUCACCAGCAGGAAAAAAAAAUAGCAGCUACGUGCCAGACUGCACGGGGUUAAGGGCAGGGCGGGCAGGAGGAGAUACUGGAAACACUCUGACCAUUGACCCUCAGUACUAUUUGACAGCAGCUGCAGGUCCCUUGGGCUUCGUUUUCCAAUUAGCGACAAGCCCAUUAACGAGCUCUAGCUAGAGGGUUUUCACUCAACUAAGAAGUGCCUAAAGGAGGAGCCAUCAGCCCUGAUCUGGGCACUGAAUCUGCCAGACUCUGUGAGUUUGGGUACCGCUCUUCUCCCACAAAAAGCAGCAUGGUAACAUGUUGAGUAACGGACAGAAGAGCUUUCUUCAAGAGUGGCACGUGCCUGUGGUUUGAAUAAAUACAUCUCAUUAUGCCCACCAUCACUAGUUUUUUGGACUUUAAUUUGCUCUAUCAGCAAAUGGAAAUGAAUCAAGUGGGGAGCAUUGAUAGAAAGUUCUUAAAGAGUCACAGAGAGGGGAGAUGACACCUUUCCAUCUAAAGAAAAGAGCAAUUACAAAUACUGAAAGGAACAUUUAGAACAAAAGUAAAUAAACCUCUACCAACUCCCAAAAAACAGCUCAGAUUUAACAGCAGACAACAUCACUGAGAAACCAGACGCUUUCACUGCUGGAAGCGUUGGGACAGCUCACAAUACAUGAGAAUAGUUUAAGAUCGAUUUAGCCCCAGGUUUCAAAGGCAAAAUCAAUCUCUACUGAGGUGGGCCGGGUCACCACCCACCUGCCCUCUGUGCUAUUUCCUCUAUUUCAGCAGAGCUCUCUCAAAAGCGACAUGGCUCUGGACCAGGAGGAACAGGGGCUCUGACCUGAGCCGUGCUGACCGGCAGCUUUGUUUCUGACGGAGCCAUUGGGUCUGGCCCACACAACCACGAUGCACUGAGGGAGGGUUCCCAAGGACCCAAGGUCUGUGGGCUUUGCAUCAGGCCUCAGUCCCACAGACGGAACAGCUCGAUGGCAUCUUUCCACAGAAAAAAUGACUGCAGACAUCACCACUCAGCUUUCCAGGCCUGCAUCUCUGAGCAUACCCUCCCAUCCCUUACACACAUGCACACGCACCUCCAAUAACAUCUAUUUUGAACGCUUAUUUCUGGAUUUUUUUUCCCCCUCAAAAUCAUCCUCAAGGAUUUUCUCAAAGUGUGUAAGAUGCAGAGAGUAUUCUACCUUGACUUUUUUUUUGGAGUUACAUUUACCUGAGAAGAUUUGAUGACGAAGGUAACGCAGGAUGAUGUCGUUAGUGAACCCUGCCCUGCCUCCAUCGGGGGAAAACGGCACAAAGACACGGAGCUUCGGCAGAUGAGUGCAGGAACAGGCUCAGCCUCUGGCAUUCAAACCAGAGAACGCGCCUACAGCGCCCAUCUGCCCGAGCUCUGACACCCAGUUAGUUGCCAGGAAUCACAGCGACACAUCAAAGAAUUUGCUUUUCAUCUUUGCAACAGUCUUAAUAUCCUUCUUAAAGACAUUCCCUAUCGGUGGGAUUCUACAUGCUCAAUGGCAUCUGAACCCUGGCAUCAGAUAAUGGCUCUUUAAUUGCUUUUCUUCCUAAGAUGCGAACACUUACAAGCUGCUGCAGGAGGAAGGACAAAAUGGGAGAGGAGCAGAUUGAGCACACCAACAGUUUGCAGUUCACACAGCAGGAAAAUAAAACGUGCCCCGAAGUUCUCACUGACUCUCCUGUUCAUCACAUUUGGGCUGUUGUCACGGUAGCUAGAAGCAAAACAUUUUGGAGACGCAUCUUGCAGCGUCCAGUCAGAUCAACUGCUCGUUUGAAGCACGCUGCAACAGUAUUACCCACUGGCCUUUUCCUCUCCUUGGAUUUAGUGGAAGGGAGAGCGGUGUUCUCGAGCAGUGUCACCACGGCAGGAACGGCCCAGGCGCAGCGUACACGACGAACGCUCGUACACCCGCAGCAGCUCGAGUGGAAACUAAGGUGUACCUGCUGCUGCUGCGAAGAACCUGCACACACAGAUCCAUCAGUGAAACAGAACUACUUCACCAGCACUACAGAUUCAAGCGUGAAGCAUACGAAGUGGCACUACAGUACGACUGACAGAUAAUGCUGUGUAAGUACGUGAGGGUUACAUCCAUGGAAAUGCAAGAACCAAGAGGCACGGUGUCUCAAAGUCACCAGUGUUCACU